This 288-nucleotide unclassified non-coding RNA is filed under the name Hevea brasiliensis (rubber tree). Lineage: Eukaryota; Viridiplantae; Streptophyta; Magnoliopsida; Malpighiales; Euphorbiaceae. The record is from RNAcentral.
CCCAGUUCGGCUUUUGACCAUAAACUUGCAGUGAACAUGAAGGAUGCAGUUGAAUGUAUUCCCCACUAGAAACAACCUCAUAACCAAGACGAUCAUAUCCAGAGUACAUGGCGACAUUAUCUGCUAGUGAAGAAAGUAAAAUCUUCUUCAUACUUUUAUCAUGGGCUGUAACAACAUAAGGACUCCAACGCCAGUAAGUUGGGAUAAUGAUGCUAAGUUCAUGCUUUAAACAGUUCUCCAACUCCAGCACUGUCUCUUUGCAUCUUCUCAUAGUUUUGGCAUUGAUAC